Molecule: ribosomal RNA, 495 nt
Filed under: uncultured bacterium
Lineage: Bacteria
Description: partial 16S ribosomal RNA
Rfam family: Bacterial small subunit ribosomal RNA
Source: RNAcentral
GACGAACGCUGGCGGCGUGCCUAAUACAUGCAAGUAGAACGCUGAAGGAGGAGCUUGCUUCUCUGGAUGAGUUGCGAACGGGUGAGUAACGCGUAGGUAACCUGCCUGGUAGCGGGGGAUAACUAUUGGAAACGAUAGCUAAUACCGCAUAAUAGCAGUUAUUGCAUGAUAACUGUUUGAAAGGUGCAAUUGCACCACUACCAGAUGGACCUGCGUUGUAUUAGCUAGUUGGUGGGGUAACGGCUCACCAAGGCGACGAUACAUAGCCGACCUGAGAGGGUGAUCGGCCACACUGGGACUGAGACACGGCCCAGACUCCUACGGGAGGCAGCAGUAGGGAAUCUUCGGCAAUGGACGGAAGUCUGACCGAGCAACGCCGCGGGAGUGAAGAAGGUUUUCGGAUCGUAAAGCUCUGUUGUAAGAGAAGAACGAGUGUGAGAGUGGAAAGUUCACACUGUGACGGUAUCUUACCAGAAAGGGACGGCUAACUACGUG